RNAcentral lists this ribosomal RNA (465 nucleotides) under uncultured bacterium. Its description in RNAcentral is "partial 16S ribosomal RNA". It matches the Rfam family "Bacterial small subunit ribosomal RNA", at positions 338 to 795 of the family's 1533-position model. The record is from RNAcentral.
CCUACGGGAGGCAGCAGUAGGGAAUUUUCGUCAAUGGGCGCAAGCCUGAACGAGCGAUGCCGCGUGAGUGAAGAAGGCCUUCGGGUCGUAAAGCUCUGUUGCGGGGGAAAAAAGGCAGCAUCAGGAAAUGGGUGCUGACUGAUGGUGCCCCGCCAGAAAGUCACGGCUAACUACGUGCCAGCAGCCGCGGUAAUACGUAGGUGGCGAGCGUUAUCCGGAAGGAUUGGGCGUAAAGGGUGCGCAGGCGGUCCUGCAAGUCUGGAGUGAAACGCAUGAGCUCAACUCAUGCAUGGCUUUGGAAACUGGAGGACUGGAGUGCAGGAGAGGGCGGUGGAACUCCAUGUGUAGCGGUAAAAUGCGUAGAUAUAUGGAAGAACACCAGUGGCGAAGGCGGCCGCCUGGCCUGUUGCUGACGCUGAGGCACGAAAGCGUGGGGAGCAAAUAGGAUUAGAUACCCUAGUAGUC